Molecule: long non-coding RNA, 831 nt
Filed under: Sinocyclocheilus grahami
Lineage: Eukaryota; Metazoa; Chordata; Actinopteri; Cypriniformes; Cyprinidae
Description: lncRNA (ENSSGRG00000031541.1)
Source: RNAcentral
AUGUUAGAGCCUGAAGUCAAGGAAAAGGCUAAACCAGCCCCUGAGAAGAAAGAGGCUGAAGUCAUCAAGGAGAAAGUUAAACCAGCUCCUGUAAAGAAAGGGCCUGAAGUUGCUAAAGAAAAGGUACCUGAACCGGCACCAAGAAUAGCACCUGAGAUAACCAAAGAAAAGCCAAAGCCAGCACCAAAGAAAGAGGCCGAAGUCAUCAAAGAGAAAGCUAAACCAUCUCCUGAGAAGAAAGAAGCUGAAGUCAUCAAAAAGAAAGUUAAACCAACUCCUGUAAAGAAAGAGCCCGAAGUUGCUAAAGAAAAGGCAUCUGAAAUGGCACCAAAAAUAGCACCUGAGAUAGUCAAAGAAAAGCCAAAGCCAGCACCAAAGAAAGAGGCUGAAGUCAUCAAAGAGAAACCUAAACCAGCUCCUGAGAAGAAAGAGGGUGAAGUCAUCAAGGAGAAAGUUAAGCCAGCUCCUGUAAAGAAAGAGCCUGAAGUUCAUAAAGAAAAGGCACCUGAACCAGUGUCAGAACCUACAAAGAAAGAAGCUGUAGCCAUCAAAGAAGAAGCUAAAGCAGCCCCCGUGAAGGAAGGUAUGAGUUUAUUUGAUUCUAUUUUUAGUGUGAUAUCCUGUGAAGCAAAUCAGGUUUCAGCCUCUUAAAAUAAUCAGGUUAUUUUAGUUGAGUCAUCAAUUUUUAGCCAAGCCAUAGGGCUUUUUUCAAUGUUUUCUUAUUACUUUUAUUAUUUUAGAGGCUGAAAUUGUCAAAGAGAAAGCUAAAGCAACCUCUGUGAAGAAAGGUUUGAUUUACAUACUACGCUCACAAUCACAUUACCACUGUUC